CCUACGGGAGGCAGCAGUGAGGAAUAUUGCACAAUGGGCGCAAGCCUGAUGCAGCGACGCCGCGUGGGUGAAGAAGGUUUUCGGAUCGUAAAACCCUUUUCUGUGUGACGAGCAAGGACGGUAGCACAGGAAUAAGUCUCGGCUAACUACGUGCCAGCAGCCGCGGUAAAACGUAGGAGACAAACGUUAUCCGGAGUUACUGGGCGUAAAGGGCGUGUAGGUGGUAGUGUAAGUCUGGCGUGAAAUUUUUCGGCUUAACCGGGAAAGGUCGUCGGAUACUGCACAACUAGAGGACGGUAGAGGCGUGUGGAAUUCCGGGUGUAGUGGUGAAAUGCGUAGAGAUCCGGAGGAACACCAGUGGCGAAGGCGACACGCUGGGCCGUACCUGACACUGAUGCGCGACAGCAUGGGGAGCAAACAGGAUUAGAAACCCUGGUAGUCCAUGCCGUAAACGAUGCUAGCUGGGUGUUCAGGGGGGAAACCCCUCGGGGUACCGAAGUCAACACGGUAAGCUAGCCGCCUGGGGAGUACGGUCGCAAGAUUAAAACCUUAAAGGAAUUGACGGCGNGAGAGNGCGAAGGACGACACGAGGGAGUUAG
This 599-nucleotide ribosomal RNA is filed under the name uncultured bacterium. RNAcentral describes it as "bacterial SSU rRNA". It matches the Rfam family "Bacterial small subunit ribosomal RNA", at positions 338 to 949 of the family's 1533-position model. The record is from RNAcentral.